UACGGAGGGGACUAGCGUUGUUCGGAAUUACUGGGCGUAAAAGCGCGCGUAGGCGGGGCUGGUCAGUUGGGGGGUGAAAAUCCCGAGGCUUAACCUCGGAACUGCCUUCAAUACUGCCAGUCUUGAGUUCGGAAGAGGUGAGUGGAAUUCCUAGUGUAGAGGUGAAAUUCAUAGAUAUUAGGAAGAACACCAGUGGCGAAAGGCGGCUCACUGGUCCCGAUACUGACGCUGAGGUGCGAAAGCGUGGGGGAGCGAAACAGGAUUAGAUACCCCUAGUC
Molecule: ribosomal RNA, 278 nt
Filed under: uncultured bacterium
Lineage: Bacteria
Description: partial 16S ribosomal RNA
Rfam family: Bacterial small subunit ribosomal RNA
Source: RNAcentral